Small nuclear RNA from Mustela erminea (ermine), 107 nucleotides. The record is from RefSeq and is a predicted model, not a curated record. Lineage: Eukaryota; Metazoa; Chordata; Mammalia; Carnivora; Mustelidae.
UUGCUCACUUCAGCAGCACAUACACUAAGGUCGGACCAAUACAGAGAAGAUCAGCAGGGGCCCCGAACAAGGAUGACACACACAUCUGUGAAUUUGCAUCUGACCAA